This 577-nucleotide long non-coding RNA is filed under the name Rattus norvegicus (Norway rat). RNAcentral's name for it is "long non-coding RNA NONRATT013628". The record is from RNAcentral. Lineage: Eukaryota; Metazoa; Chordata; Mammalia; Rodentia; Muridae.
GCCCUUCUUGCCCUCUCCCGUGGGUAGGAAGCUGUCUUGUUUUCAGCUCCAGCAGGCUGGCUGUGGCAUCGUCUGUUAGCCGUAUUGGGAGGACCAGCAUCAUUUGUAUUUGAAGUUGUUUCUUGGUCUCUUGGGUUACAUAUGUUAAAGGGAAUACAAAGGUCAUAGCUACAUUUGAAGCUACUGCUAAGGGGUCUUUGUUCCUACUCUACUUAUGUCGUGAGUCUGGGGCCGGUCUAGCACUACACUUUCUCCUCCUACUUCAAGCCUCGGCCAGCCUGUUUCUGUGUGUCGUCAGGGUACACGGGAACUCAGUGUUACGCUAUGUGCCUGGUGAGAAAGCCAGUGAAGGGGGUGGGGCUGGGGUCAAGAAGGGAAAACUGAAAGCACUGUUGAUUGACAGCUUUAAUUCCAAAGCUGCACAACUUUCCUGUGGUCCUGAGUCGUGGACUGAGAGUCUGCCAGAUGGCUGAGGCCAACCAGGACACUGCUGCUCUUCUGGAGAGGUGGCACCCAUCCUGCUCUCCAACGGAGACCCGAGUCACAAACUUGGAAAUAACCUGCCAGAGGAAGACAU